GUAAUUGUGGUCAAGUGGUUAAGGUGAUGGACUUGAAAUCCACUGGGGUUUCCUUACACAGGUUCAAAUCCUGUCAAUUACG
Non-coding RNA from Protopterus annectens (West African lungfish), 82 nucleotides. NCBI's taxonomy places the organism in Eukaryota, Metazoa, Chordata, Ceratodontiformes, Protopteridae. The record is from the annotation of a RefSeq genome assembly.